CACUGGGGAACAAUUACAGCAAUGAGAAAAUGGUAAAAAUAACACAAACCCAGCAUAUUCCUCAUGACACUGACAGCCAGAAUGCUGCUUAGUAUGGCAGAGAGCAGAAACAUUAACAGGCUUAAUACCCAAACAGUCUACCUGCAGUGAGACGUGCCAAUUUGCUGCCAUCACUCCCUGCCAUCACAGUGCCAUCUGUGUCACAAAGACUGGACAAUGCCCUCAUCUAAGAGCAAGAAACCAGACCUGAGAUAACAACAGAUGAAGCAGCAACAAGAGAAAGGAGACAAUGAUUCAUCAAGGAGCUGUCCCUGUCAUCUGGGUGACUCUCAGUUGAAUCAGAGCCUCCGCACCACGCCUAAUGGACCUGAGCUGACUGGUAACCACAGAGGACUUGCUUCUUCAGCUUCGUUUCCUCACCCAUCCAUGCCUACACAUGUACAUUUUCUGAAUGGAAGAAGAAGCUGAACAGAUAUUUAAAAGUCAGGUGCCGUGAACACGCUUGUUCUGGAUUCAGAAGUGGGUAAAUCUUAUUUGAUGGGGACCAAAAAUCUCAUCUUUCCUUCUGUAAAAUUGUUCAUGCUGCAGCU
Molecule: long non-coding RNA, 590 nt
Filed under: Anser brachyrhynchus (Pink-footed goose)
Lineage: Eukaryota; Metazoa; Chordata; Aves; Anseriformes; Anatidae
Description: lncRNA (ENSABRG00000016947.1)
Source: RNAcentral